ACCCAGCAGCUUGGAUUGUGCAGCAACGACAACGACGACGACCAACCUCAUUUAUCUACAUCUUCAUCAUCAAAGAUUUGAUGGGUUUUCUUGAAUCUUGAUGAUCAAUUAUCCUUUUGUUUUUUUCUUGAUGAAUAAUUAAAUUUGGUGAUUUAAUGUGUAAGAUCUCGAAAGGAUUAAUUGAUCGAUGAAAUGUUUGAUGAUCUGCUGAUCUGCUCUGCUCAUUUUGUAUGUGUAUAAAUGAAUCGCCUUAAAAAAAUGAUUUUAUUUCUAGCUAGAUUG
This 282-nucleotide unclassified non-coding RNA is filed under the name Hevea brasiliensis (rubber tree). Lineage: Eukaryota; Viridiplantae; Streptophyta; Magnoliopsida; Malpighiales; Euphorbiaceae. The record is from RNAcentral.